RNAcentral lists this ribosomal RNA (1128 nucleotides) under Halomonas smyrnensis. RNAcentral describes it as "bacterial SSU rRNA". It matches the Rfam family "Bacterial small subunit ribosomal RNA", at positions 71 to 1178 of the family's 1533-position model. The record is from RNAcentral. Lineage: Bacteria; Pseudomonadati; Pseudomonadota; Gammaproteobacteria; Oceanospirillales; Halomonadaceae.
AGCUUUGCUUAGGAGGCGUCGAGCGGCGGACGGGUGAGUAAUGCAUCAGGAAUCUGCCCGGUAGUGGGGGAUAACUUGAGGAAACUCAAGCUAAUACCGCAUACGCCCCAAGGGGGAAAGCAGGGGAUCUUCGGACCUUGCGCUAUCGGAUGAGCUUAUGUCGGAUUAGCUAGUUGGUGAGGUAAUGGCUCACCAAGGCCGCGAUCCGUAGCUGGUCUGAGAGGAUGAUCAGCCACAUCGGGACUGAGACACGGCCCGAACUCCUACGGGAGGCAGCAGUGGGGAAUAUUGGACAAUGGGCGAAAGCCUGAUCCAGCCAUGCCGCGUGUGUGAAGAAGGCCCUCGGGUUGUAAAGCACUUUCAGCGAGGAAGAAGGCUUGUGGGCUAAUACCCCGCAAGAAGGACAUCACUCGCAGAAGAAGCACCGGCUAACUCCGUGCCAGCAGCCGCGGUAAUACGGAGGGUGCAAGCGUUAAUCGGAAUUACUGGGCGUAAAGCGCGCGUAGGCGGCUUGAUAAGCCGGUUGUGAAAGCCCCGGGCUCAACCUGGGAACGGCAUCCGGAACUGUCAGGCUAGAGUGCAGGAGAGGAAGGUAGAAUUCCCGGUGUAGCGGUGAAAUGCGUAGAGAUCGGGAGGAAUACCAGUGGCGAAGGCGGCCUUCUGGACUGACACUGACGCUGAGGUGCGAAAGCGUGGGUAGCAAACAGGAUUAGAUACCCUGGUAGUCCACGCCGUAAACGAUGUCGACUAGCCCGUUGGGGUCCUCGAGACCUUUGUGGCGCAGUUAACGCGAUAAGUCGACCGCCUGGGGGAGUACGGCCCGCAAGGUUAAAACUCAAAUGAAUUUGACGGGGGCCCGCACAAGCGGUGGAGCAUGUGGUUUAAUUCGAUGCAACGCGAAGAACCUUACCUACUCUUGACAUCGAGCGAACUUUCCAGAGAAUGGAUUGGUGCCUUCGGGAACGCUCAGACAGGUGCUGCAUUGGCCGCCGUCAGCUCCGGGUUGGGAAAUGGUUGGGGUUAAGUCCCCGGAACGAACGGCAACCCUUUGUCCCUAUUUUGCCAACGGAUUCCGUCCGGGAACUCCUAAGGGAAAAUUGCCGGGGGCAAACCCGGAGGAAAGGGGGG